CUUCCUGUCAGGAUUGAUGCCUGUGGAGAUGUCUACAUAUACCAAAGUCUCCUUGCUGGGUCAGUGAUGAUCAGGUCAAACCAGAAAGGGGCUUGGAAUUUUAAUUCAAGGGCUACACAGAGAGAACUACUCAAUAAGAAGCUUUAAAAAGGUUAAAGCCAAGUUUGCGUUUGGAAAAUGUUGGGCUGAAUGGAAGUGGCUCACCCUGGGUUUAUCAACAAGCCCUACAACUGAAUGAAAUCUACAAAGCUUUGAGGGGCAUAAAAUCACAGACAGCUCUCCAUUAAUCCCAAAGUGUUUGCUGCACACAAAUAAAAAUCUCCUUGCAUCUAUGCCCCCUCCAUUCCUGAGCCAGCUCUUGUUUGUACAGAAUAUGCAUUUAUCUUGGAGAAUAGUUGACAAUCUGCUUUGCUUCACUACAGUCAACAGAUGGCAGCAAAACUAGUCAAAAGUUGUAUCAUACCUUGCUCUCCAUUUACCCAUGGCUGUAGUGCUUGGAGUUUUCUGAAACUUGGAUCAAAACAGUGGUAAAUGACCCAGUGGCAUGCUAAUCCUUUUCUAUGGUUAAUUCCAUAGCUCACUGCUGACCACAUACUAAAUUACUGGUAGCAUUAAGAUUAUUUAGCAGACAUGUCCAUCUCAUGUUGAACAUGUCGACCUGUCAACUUUACAUCUUUUGGUGAUAGGCUAUUAUUACGGUAACAAUAAAGGAGCUAUAUUAUACUGAUCCAGACCAACUGGUCCAUCAAGCAUAUUUUUGUCUGCUCCGAUUGUGGGAGGGACCACAGCUCAGUAGGACAUACUUUGCAUGCAGAAAAUCCCAGGUUCAGUUUUGUGCAUCUACAGUUAAAAGAAGUAGGGAAGAUGGGAAAACCAAUACUACUUGUUCAUAAUCUGUUUAAUAUGGAAUUGAUAUCAUGUCACCAGCAAGAUCACAUUUCUAAAAAAUAUUGUGUGGUGAGAACUUAAAUAGAUGCAAAUGCCAACCAUUCUUGCUACAUACCAAAAGGAAACAUGCUCUUGAAAAUACUGUUUAUUUUAUAACACUAUAUUGUUAAAUUAUAUCUGUACACAAUUAUUGCCUUUCUGUUAUAGUAAAACUUGCAGAUCACCUCCAGGGUGAAUAUGAUAAUAGAGUUACACAACUGUAUUUAUUGUGCCCAUCACAUUUCCAAAGUGAUGACAAGACCAUAAAGUAACUUAUAACUUCUGAAA
Rhineura floridana is the source of this 1215-nucleotide long non-coding RNA. RefSeq lists it as uncharacterized. The transcript has 2 exons. NCBI's taxonomy places the organism in Eukaryota, Metazoa, Chordata, Lepidosauria, Squamata, Rhineuridae. The record is from RefSeq and is a predicted model, not a curated record.